CCUACGGGAGGCAGCAGUGGGGAAUAUUGCACAAUGGGGGAAACCCUGAUGCAGCGACGCCGCGUGAGUGAAGAAGUAUUUAGGUAUGUAAAGCUCUAUCAGCAGGGAAGAAGAAAGACGGUACCUGACCAAGAAGCCACGGCUAACUACGUGCCAGCAGCCGCGGUAAUACGUAGGGGGCACGUGUUAUCCGGAUUUACUGGGUGGAAAGGGAGCGUAGACGGCAGUGCAAGUCUGAGGUGAAAGCCCAGGGCUUAACCCUGGGACUGCUUUGGAAACUGUGGAGCUAGAGUGCUGGAGAGGUAAGUGGAAUGCCUGGUGUAGCGGUGAAAUGCGUAGAUAUUAGGAAGAACACCAGUUGCGAAGGCAGCUUACUGGACAGUAACUGACGUUGAGGCUCGAAAGCGUGGGGAGCAAACAGGAUUAGAUACCCUUGUAGUC
RNAcentral lists this ribosomal RNA (441 nucleotides) under uncultured bacterium. Its description in RNAcentral is "partial 16S ribosomal RNA". It matches the Rfam family "Bacterial small subunit ribosomal RNA", at positions 338 to 795 of the family's 1533-position model. The record is from RNAcentral.